Molecule: long non-coding RNA, 302 nt
Filed under: Manihot esculenta (cassava)
Lineage: Eukaryota; Viridiplantae; Streptophyta; Magnoliopsida; Malpighiales; Euphorbiaceae
Description: long non-coding RNA (MESC_LNC004466)
Source: RNAcentral
CACAACUACUGCAAGCAAUUAAUUAUUUAUCAUCAUCACCACCAGACAAACCUCAAAAUCAAGAGCCCUUUACACUACCUUCAUUUAUUGUUUUACAGAUUACAGAAUUAUAAAGUGUAAAUAAUACUUACACUGUUCACAAUAUUUUACAUGUUCGAGCAUAGUAUUUUAUAAAUUAAAAACGGAAAUAUAAAGCUAAAGUGUCUGGGGCAACAUACUAUUUAUUGACGAAUAUUAUUGAACUGACAAUGAGCAUCCUCUUUACAUACACUUUGGGCAAGCUUUUAUUUUGCAGAAUGAGC